This 88-nucleotide transfer RNA is filed under the name bacterium. RNAcentral's name for it is "tRNA-Ser". It matches the Rfam family "tRNA". Rfam says of the family: Transfer RNA (tRNA) molecules are approximately 80 nucleotides in length. The record is from RNAcentral.
GCCGAGAUGUCCGAGUGGUCGAUGGUGACGGUCUUGAAAACCGUUGUACGGAAACGUACCGUGGGUUCGAAUCCCACUCUCGGCGCCA